UUCUGUAAGCCUGUGAAGGUGAGUUGAGAAGCUUGCUGGAGGUAUCAGAAGUGCGAAUGCUGACAUGAGUAACGACAAUGGGUGUGAAAAACACCCACGCCGAAAGACCAAGGGUUCCUGCGCAACGUUAAUCGACGCAGGGUUAGUCGGUUCCUAAGGCGAGGCUGAAAAGCGUAGUCGAUGGGAAACAGGUUAAUAUUCCUGUACUUCUGGUUACUGCGAUGGAGGGACGGAGAAGGCUAGGCCAGCUUGGCGUUGGUUGUCCAAGUUUAAGGUGGUAGGCUGAAAUCUUAGGUAAAUCCGGGGUUUCAAGGCCGAGAGCUGAUGACGAGUCGUCUUUUAGAUGACGAAGUGGUUGAUGCCAUGCUUCCAAGAAAAGCUUCUAAGCUUCAGGUAACCAGGAACCGUACCCCAAACCGACACAGGUGGUCGGGUAGAGAAUACCAAGGCGCUUGAGAGAACUCGGGUGAAGGAACUAGGCAAAAUGGCACCGUAACUUCGGGAGAAGGUGCGCCGGCUAGGGUGAAGGAUUUACUCCGUAAGCUCUGGCUGGUCGAAGAUACCAGGCCGCUGCGACUGUUUAUUAAAAACACAGCACUCUGCAAACACGAAAGUGGACGUAUAGGGUGUGACGCCUGCCCGGUGCCGGAAGGUUAAUUGAUGGGGUUAGCGCAAGCGAAGCUCUUGAUCGAAGCCCCGGUAAACGGCGGCCGUAACUAUAACGGUCCUAAGGUAGCGAAAUUCCUUGUCGGGUAAGUUCCGACCUGCACGAAUGGCGUAACGAUGGCGGCGCUGUCUCCACCCGAGACUCAGUGAAAUUGAAAUCGCUGUGAAGAUGCAGUGUAUCCGCGGCUAGACGGAAAGACCCCGUGAACCUUUACUGUAGCUUUGCACUGGACUUUGAGCCUGCUUGUGUAGGAUAGGUGGGAGGCUUUGAAGCGUGGACGCCAGUUCGCGUGGAGCCAUCCUUGAAAUACCACCCUGGCAUGCUUGAGGUUCUAACUCUGGUCCGUGAUCCGGAUCGAGGACAGUGUAUGGUGGGCAGUUUGACUGGGGCGGUCUCCUCCUAAAGAGUAACGGAGGAGUACGAAGGUGCGCUCAGACCGGUCGGAAAUCGGUCGCAGAGUAUAAAGGCAAAAGCGCGCUUGACUGCGAGACAGACACGUCGAGCAGGUACGAAAGUAGGUCUUAGUGAUCCGGUGGUUCUGUAUGGAAGGGCCAUCGCUCAACGGAUAAAAGGUACUCCGGGGAUAACAGGCUGAUACCGCCCAAGAGUUCAUAUCGACGGCGGUGUUUGGCACCUCGAUGUCGGCUCAUCACAUCCUGGGGCUGAAGCCGGUCCCAAGGGUAUGGCUGUUCGCCAUUUAAAGUGGUACGCGAGCUGGGUUUAGAACGUCGUGAGACAGUUCGGUCCCUAUCUGCCGUGGACGUUUGAGAUUUGAGAGGGGCUGCUCCUAGUACGAGAGGACCGGAGUGGACGAACCUCUGGUGUUCCGGUUGUCACGCCAGUGGCAUUGCCGGGUAGCUAUGUUCGGAAAAGAUAACCGCUGAAAGCAUCUAAGCGGGAAACUUGCCUCAAGAUGAGAUCUCACUGGGAACUUGAUUCCCCUGAAGGGCCGUCGAAGACUACGACGUUGAUAGGCUGGGUGUGUAAGCGUUGUGAGGCGUUGAGCUAACCAGUACUAAUUGCCCGUGAGGCUUGACCA
RNAcentral lists this ribosomal RNA (1706 nucleotides) under Pseudomonas aeruginosa. Its description in RNAcentral is "partial 23S ribosomal RNA". It matches the Rfam family "Bacterial large subunit ribosomal RNA", at positions 1239 to 2925 of the family's 2925-position model. The record is from RNAcentral. Lineage: Bacteria; Pseudomonadati; Pseudomonadota; Gammaproteobacteria; Pseudomonadales; Pseudomonadaceae. RNAcentral also lists the same sequence under 1 other name.